GAGGAGUUCAGACUUCGCCCUCUGUGAAAGAGGGAGCAUUGAAUGUUUUUAAAGCAGAAGGAGUGCUGUCAGGACGGAGGCAGCACAGAGCGAGGAGGCCAGCUGGGAGGCUACUGCAAGAGUCCGGGGGAGAGGAGAUGAGGCCCUGAACCAUGGUGACUGAAUUCCUAGGGUUCCUAGUCAUUCCUCAUUCUUCCCAGAUGCUUCAGUGAAGGGGGAGACAAAGACUAGAGAAGGAAGCCAGACCAACGUGGGGUAGGGACAACCGGGAGACUUGCUGUUGGGAGGCUCGAAAUGUGCACAGCCUGUACUGCCCAGCCGCUGUAGAGAGGACAGCUUCCAGGACCCACAGCCAGCCUUGCAUGAGCGAAAAAUAAACUUUUACAUGUCAAGCCCAGAGAUGUGUUACUCUAGGACCCAUUCUAAGUACUAUGCUUUUCUAAGUUCACUUAACUAGUAAAGGGCAGGACCAGGAUAUAAGCAGGAAACAAGACAGCUCCACGUCCUGUGCUAUGGGCAAGGAAUUAAUUAGGAGGAAGAAAAGAACCAGCCAGUGCCAGGUCAGGUGAAACCAGAGCCCGAGGCAUCUUCUCUUGCUCACUUUUUCCACAGCUGUUCCACCCUUACUCACACCACCACCAUAGGAUUAGGAGCUUACAUUUCUCAAGCACUUAAUGUGUGCCAAGAAAUGUGUGAAAGGCUUUGCCUUUUCUUUUUCAGUCCUCAUAUGAGAUAUGCACUAUUAUUAUCCCAUUUUCAUUUGAGGGAGCUGAGCUCAGAGACAUAAGUAAUUUUCCAAGUUCACAUAGAGGGUAAGUGUCAGCACCGGGAUUUUAACUUACACUGUGUGACAUCAAAGCCCAACUAUUACUUUCUGCCGCCUCCCAAGACCAUUGCCUAGGUGGCAGAGGGAAGUUAUGGCAAUGGCAAACACACACACACACACACAUAUACCAGUUGAACCACUCAGGAUCGAAGGGAGCAGAUCCAAUGAACCACAAAUGCUGAACACAUUCCCCACAACCUUGAGAUGGCAUCUAAGCCUGUGCUCUCACCAGACUAGAUAAAGAAGUUUUCCAUCAGGUAAUUAGAGCUGUUCUAAAGAACCCCAUUGUUGCUCCCACGCUUGAAGCAGUUUCUGUUUUGCAAGGUCAACAGAUCAGGUUUGGGGAGCUAGCUGUUUAAGCAUAUGCGUGCUCUGGAAAUUGAGAGCUGUGCUCGCCAGCGUAGCUCUCUAUGCCCAGGCAACCACAGGAUCUUAGUUGUAGUAGGACAAUCAUGCACCAGCAAUUGCAAGUGGCACCACACACAUCAUUCUUCUAGGUGUCAACUAAAUUAGGCUAAGAGUGGGUUUGAUCUGGUUAGCAUCCAGUAUCCAGAUGCCCAUUCCCCACAAAUGAGUGACAGUAAAUGUACCAAAGAUUUCUGAGCCACCCAACACAACUCAUUCUCUUACUUAGCAAUAUCAUUUUUCAUCUACUGUCUUGCAUAUUUCUUAACCAGUCUUCCAUUUGGCUCUUAUAACUACACUAACGCUAGAAAGGAAUGCAUGUUAGGGAGACAAAGGUAUAUAAUUUAAAUGAAAUUAUAUAAGAUACAGUUGGCUAACUAGAGUGCAGCCUACUUUAGGCAUUCCCUUGUCACCAUGUCUGGGUUUGUAGCCCAAUGCAAGAUGUAAGCAACAUUCAGACAUCAAGGCACAUUGACUUCUAGGCUUUUUUUUUUUCUGGUUAUAGUAAUAUUUCUUUUUCUGCAAAAGAUUUUUUUUCCUAAAGGUAAGUUAUUUUGAAUAUGGGAGGAAACUUCCUUUUCCAGCAAUAUGGUGGAGUAAAUAUCUGCAAAAACAAUGAUAAGUAAAACAACUAAAAAUAUUGGAUGUGAUAAUUUUAAAAGCUUUUAAAAAUAUAUGGGACUGCACUUUCAAGAAAACAGGGGAAAUUCUGAGGAGUCAAAAUUAAAGACAGACCAGGAAACCACAGUGGUAUUCAGGUUCUGGCAGCGUCUAUGCAGAGACCCUCCAAGAAGGAGUUUGCCAAUCUCAUUUUCCAAGACCAGUGGGUUUUAAAGGCCUCAUGGAGUAUGGAGACAAGGCUGUGGGUCCGUACCGGUUGGGAAGCUGGAAAUAAGACCCCUCACAUAUAUAAGACAUCCUCACCUGAAAAACUGCACGCCCGCAAAGAAGUGACAAAGAAACUUAUCGGCUUUGACCUUGACUCUAGAUGUGGAAAAAAAUCCCCUGAAAAUGUAUAACCAUGGCCUUCCCUCAUAUGGAUUUGGGGAAUGAAUUUACCUUACCUGGGUUGUCCAGAAACCCAGAGCUGAGAACUUUAACUUAGACUGGUCUUGGGUUGAGGGCCCCUGGCAGUUAAAGAUAAAACCUUGUUGGAGGUUUGCACACUCAACCAAAGCUUCCCAAGAUUCCACAAAUACAGCCCAAAAAGCAGGACAUGCGCUCACAAGCCCAACCACAAAACACGAAUAAACAAGGUACUUGAGCAGGAGUCAGCGGAAAUGGCGCCAGCAGAGCGAGGUCCCCCAAGGACGUCAGACGUCGGAAUUAUCCCCUAUAGGAUCUGAAAUGAGCAUUUUUACAGGGCAUAAAGGAAUAAGAGAGGGAGUCAAAAACAGAAGCUAGAAAUAAGAUACUAUCGUAAAGACCAGGCAGAUGUGAAAAAAAGAAACAUAACACUUCUAAAAAUAAAAUAAAAUAAUGAUAAUAAUAAUAAUGGAAAUUGAAACUCAGUGGAUAGGUUAAAAGGCAGACUAGACACAGCUGAAAGAAUUGGAAGAGACCCUCAAUUCUUGGCCCUGGAAAAUCCAGUUCUGUGUCUUUGCUACGAUCAGGCCGUGAGUAUCCGACUCGCUCUGGCUCCUCUUGGAGCUGGAGUACCGGAGCAGCGCUGCGCGUCACGUGGGACAGAAGGAACAUUCAAUCCUUUUGUCAAGCAGGACAGAAGGAAUAAAUCCUAGCCUUAAAGUUUCCAUGACUAGCAGAAAUUCUUCUCACUGCCCAUAGCUUGCAGCAAAAUGAAGGAGGGCUCCGAUUUCUAAAUGAAAAAUUUCCUUUUGUAAAGCUACUUAGAAGGAGGGUUUUCAGAAUCUGUCCACACAAUUUUCUACUUAGACAGGAGAUGAUAUUUUCCCCUAAGUGCACAAAAUCAUUCUGGUAUAUCUUUUGGGAUUUACCUUAUUAAUAAAUAAAGAUCUGAAACUGGAUGUGUACAGCUGUUUAAUGCUGAAAUCCGCUCCAGCGCAUCAGUAUUUGUGUAUGUGUGUGUGUGUGUAAAAUUUUAAGUAAGACUUUACCGUGCUUUAAUAGAAUUUUUAAUGUUGCUGUAAACAUAAGAGGCUGGAAGAAUUAUGAACAGAAAAAUACCCAAAGAUCUUACCCAGACUGCAGCACAGAGAGACAAAGAAAUGAAAUAUAUGGAAGAGAAGGACAGAGACAUGGUGAAGAGAGGGUAAGAAGGUUUACAGCACAGUGAAUUGGAAUUCCAUAAAAGGAAAAAGAAUUCUCAAACAUUAAAAAGCUGGAAAUUUUCUAGGGUUGGUGAGAGAUACAAAUCCCCAGAUUUAGGAAUUAAAUGAAUCCCAAGCUAAAUAACAGGAAAUAAACCCCAAGCCACAUAAUUGUGAAACUGCAGAUCACCAAAGACAAAGAGAAGAUCUUAGCCAGGAGACAAGACAGUUUACGUACAAAGGAAGAACAUUUAUACUGUCAGCAGACUUCUUAUUCGCAACAAUGAGGCAGAAGAAUAAUAUUUUUCAAGUAUGAAAAAAAUAACUGUCAACCCAGGUAACCUAGACAUCCUUUCAUUCAAAAACAAGGACAGUUUAGGAAAAAAAGCAAUUUUACCCUAACUCAAAUUAAAGAAUUCCAAGGCCCUUGUAGUUAGUAUUCUGGAGAAGUAUGAUGUGGCAGACUGCUAACUGUCCCCCGCACGUGCCCUCCCCUUCUCGUAGUAUCAGGUCCCCCACUUCGCCCUUUAGCCAGGCACACGGGCACCCCGCCGGAGACUACAUUUUCCAUCGCCCAAGUGGAGCAGUUUAAGGAGAGAAUAGGAAGUGGCUAAAGACAAACCAUCAAGAGGAAAUAGGGAACAACAGCUGGAGGGGUCCUGGAGUCAGGGGCGCUUUUGCUUUUUUAAAGGUGAGAGAUACUUCAGCACGUUUGUUUGGUUUUGUAUAUGAUCCAAGAGAGGGAGAGAAGAUGAUGCUGCAAAAUAGAGAGUGGAAACUGCAAGAGUGAAGAUUUCGAGAAGGCAAGAAGGAUCCAGAGCACAUGUGGCAGGAGGGGCUGGCCUUGGGUAGAACAGGGACCCCCUCCUCCUCAACUAUAUAAUCAGGUAACGGUUUUCCAGCAUCAGUGUCAUCUCAUUAUAUUUUAAUAAUUCAGUUAAACACCCUGAAUUUUAAUUUCUCUGCCUAAAAUGAGCAGUUCUGUACUCUUUCAGAGCAGACAUCACUCAUCUGUUGAUGAGACUUAGAAUGCCCACUGAAAGGUGGUGACUCUCGUCUAAGAUUUAAAUCAGAGGGACCCCACGCAACAGGCAAAUAUUGAAGAAUAGACUUUAAUGGUAAACCCCCAAAGUUGUGUGUGAAAGCAUUUAAGCAAACAUAUCUGGGUUCAUUGCUGGGGUUUUUUUCUUGCUUUUCUAUGAUGUGGAAAUGAGAAUGGGUUCCCUGGAGGUCAAAGGACCCGUGGAAGAAGGUGGUUGAGGACGUAACAGCACAGAGAGAUGACUGAGGUUGUCCCGUGUGUGGGACCCCAGGGAAGACAGGGUCUAACAGAGCCACAGUGAUGUUCACCCGGAGCUGACAGAACGAGGGGAGGGACAGGGUGAGAGGGCAUUGUUCCUGCACUAUAAUUUAGUGAGGAUUUUCUGGGACUCCAGUGCUAGCGAGAUUAAGUAGUUAUGGCCUAGUGGCAAGUUCAUGGGAAAGAGCCAGAGGGAAAAUUAACUUGUAUUUGACAUGAAACACAUACUCUGUGGGUAUUCAUCAGAGUAAAUUAUAUGCAAUGGGGACGUUUGAAAGCACUUCCUUUUUCUCCCUUAAUGAAUAUGUACUGUUGGAUCGCACUGGACUGCCCCUCUUGAUUUUUAGUAAAUAAUCAACAACUUCUGAUGCCUAUAAUCUAGUGUUUAACUGUCUCUACUUGUGAUUAAAUUGAGGAUGAAUACAUAUUACCAUAAUGCCUAGGAAUUGCAUAAUAUUUCCC
Molecule: long non-coding RNA, 5221 nt
Organism: Equus caballus (horse)
Lineage: Eukaryota; Metazoa; Chordata; Mammalia; Perissodactyla; Equidae
Source: Ensembl